CCUGGAGAGGACUUCUCCUUCCUCUGUGUGUUUGGAGGAUGCGCUCAUGGAAAUCUUCCACUCUAACACACGGUGGUAAAACCGUUUCUAAAGCCUAGGAUUGAGCAAAGCGUUUCUGAGACAGGACAAGAGGUAACGACCAUACACUGCACCAGGGGAGGUUCAGGUUGGAUAUCAGGAAACAUUUCUUCUCAGAAAGAGUGGUGAGGCAUUGGAACGGGCUGCCCAGGGAGGUGGUGGAGUCACUAUUCCUGGAGGUGUUCAAAGAACAUAUAGGAGUGGCACUGAGAGACAUAGUUUAAUGGGCAUGGGUGAGUGGCUGGACUAGAUCUGUUUACUGGUCUUUUCCAAAUGUAAUGUGCAAAGAGAGAGCCUAAAAGAAAUUGAAACAACAUUUAAAAAGAAAAAAAAAAUCUUUACAGGCAGAAGCAUGUGGGAGAGGUGGACAUAUAAAAGGUCCAGCUUAGAGGCUGUAAAGGAAAUUUAAUCAAAUAAUAAAAGCUGUCUUGGCCAUAUAAAGAAAAAUUAAGAGAAAUGGAUGUCUUACAUAUUGUAGGUGUUGGCAUUAAAAUGAAUCUAGGCACUGCCCCAAACUAUUUGUCUCAGCUUUGGUAAUGAUACUGGCAUUAUACACAGAAGCAAAAUCAAAACAGUGAAUGUGAGUGGGUGUGGAAACAGAUGUUAUUACAGGCAAGGUAAAAGCAAAGUGCAAAGAGCUCAGCUCUUGAGGAGGCUCAGAAACAGAGAUAAUAAAGCUCAUGAUAAGAGUUUUAAUGCAUUUGCUGAAACAGUUGCAAUGCCAUGUGAUUAAACAUUAGACAUUGAAGCCCUGGAGCGUGUCCAGAGGAGGGCAACAAAGCUGGUGAGGGGUCUGGAGCACAGGCCUUAUGAGGAGCGGCUGAAGGAGCUGGGAUUGUUCAGUCUGGAGAAGAGGAGGCUCAGGGGAGACCUUAUUGCUCUCUAUAACUACCUGAAGGUAGGUUGUAGUGAGCUGGGAGUCGGCCUCUUCUCUCGGGUGACUAGUGAUAGGACUAGAGGGAAUGGCUUCAAGCUGCGCCAGGGGAGGUUCAUGCUGGACGUUAGGUAAUACUACUUCUCUGAAAGGGUGGUCAGGCACUGGAAUGGGCUGCCCAGAGAGGUGGUGGAGUCACUGACCCUGGUGGUGUUCAAAGAGUGUUUGGAUGUUGUGUUGAGGGACAUGGUUUAGCGAGAACCGUUGGUGAAGGGCAAAUGGUUGGACUGGAUGAUCCUGUGGGUCUUUUCCAACUGCAUUGGAAAACUGCAUUUGCUCCUUAGCUCCCAGUACACUGCAUGAUGUUGUGAU
Molecule: long non-coding RNA, 1324 nt
Organism: Gallus gallus (chicken)
Lineage: Eukaryota; Metazoa; Chordata; Aves; Galliformes; Phasianidae
Source: Ensembl